GAUGAACGCUGGCGGCGUGCCUAAUACAUGCAAGUCGAGCGAACAGACGAGGAGCUUGCUCCUCUGACGUUAGCGGCGGACGGGUGAGUAACACGUGGAUAACCUACCUAUAAGACUGGGAUAACUUCGGGAAACCGGAGCUAAUACCGGAUAAUAUAUUGAACCGCAUGGUUCAAUAGUGAAAGACGGUUUUGCUGUCACUUAUAGAUGGAUCCGCGCCGCAUUAGCUAGUUGGUAAGGUAACGGCUUACCAAGGCAACGAUGCGUAGCCGAGCUGAGAGGGUGAUCGGCCACACUGGAACUGAGACACGGGCCAGACACCUACGGGAGGCAGCAGUAGGGAAUCUUCCGCAAUGGGCGAAAGCCUGACGGAGCAACGCCGCGUGAGUGAUGAAGGUCUUCGGAUCGUAAAACUCUGUUAUUAGGGAAGAACAAAUGUGUAAGUAACUAUGCACGUCUUGACGGUACCUAAUCAGAAAGCCACGGCUAACUACGUGCCAGCCGCCGCAGUAA
This 513-nucleotide ribosomal RNA is filed under the name uncultured bacterium. Its description in RNAcentral is "partial 16S ribosomal RNA". It matches the Rfam family "Bacterial small subunit ribosomal RNA", at positions 28 to 523 of the family's 1533-position model. The record is from RNAcentral.